AGAGCUUGAUCCUGGCUCAGAAUGAACGCUGGCGGCGUGCUUAACACAUGCAAGUCGCACGAGAACGCUUUAGCUUGCUAAAGCAAGUAAAGUGGCGCACGGGUGAGUAACGCGUGGGCAAUCUACCUCCGAAUCGGGGAUAACAUUGCGAAAGCGAUGCUAAUACCGGAUGACAUCCUGAAGGCCUUGGUUUUAAGGAUCAAAGGUGGCCUCUACAAGUAAGCUACUGUUUGGAGAUGAGCCCGCGUACCAUUAGCUUGUUGGUAGGGUAACGGCCUACCAAGGCGACGAUGGUUAGCUGGUCUGAGAGGAUGAUCAGCCACACUGGAACUGACACACGGUCCAGACUCCUACGGGAGGCAGCAGUGAGGAAUUUUGCGCAAUGGGGGAAACCCUGACGCAGCAACGCCGCGUGAGUGAUGAAGGCUUUCGGGUCGUAAAGCUCUGUCAAGUGGGAAGAAACCACGAGGUGAUAAUAUCGCUUUGUGCUGACGGUACCACUGAAGGAAGCACCGGCUAACUCCGUGCCAGCAGCCGCGGUAAUACGGGGGGUGCAAGCGUUAUUCGGAAUCAUUGGGCGUAAAGGGCGCGUAGGCGGUUUGUUAAGUCAGAUGUGAAAGCCCGGGGCUCAACCCCGGAAGUGCAUUUGAUACUGGCGGACUUGAGUAUGGGAGAGGGAAGUGGAAUUCCUGGUGUAGAGGUGAAAUUCGUAGAUAUCAGGAGGAACACCGGUGGCGAAGGCGACUUCCUGGACCAAUACUGACGCUGAGGCGCGAAGGCGUGGGUAGCAAACAGGAUUAGAUACCCUGGUAGUCCACGCAGUAAACGGUGAUCACUAGGUGUAGCGGGUAUUGACCCCUGCUGUGCCGCAGUUAACGCAUUAAGUGAUCCGCCUGGGGAGUACGGCCGCAAGGUUAAAACUCAAAGGAAUUGACGGGGGCCCGCACAAGCGGUGGAGCAUGUGGUUUAAUUCGACGCAACGCGAAGAACCUUACCUGGGUUUGACAUCUCGGGGAUUUUUUGGAAACAAGAAAGUGCCCUUCGGGGAGCCCGAAGACAGGUGCUGCAUGGCUGUCGUCAGCUCGUGUCGUGAGAUGUUGGGUUAAGUCCCGCAACGAGCGCAACCCUUAUCUUUAGUUACCAUCACUUCGGGUGGGGACUCUAAAGAUACUGCCCCGGUCAACGGGGAGGAAGGUGGGGAUGACGUCAAGUCCUCAUGGCCUUUAU
Molecule: ribosomal RNA, 1227 nt
Filed under: metagenome
Description: bacterial SSU rRNA
Rfam family: Bacterial small subunit ribosomal RNA
Source: RNAcentral